CAGCAGCCGCGGUAAUACGUAGGUCCCGAGCGUUGUCCGGAUUUAUUGGGCGUAAAGCGGGCGCAGGCGGUUAGAUAAGUCUGAAGUUAAAGGCUGUGGCUUAACCAUAGUACGCUUUGGAAACUGUUUAACUUGAGUGCAAGAGGGGAGAGUGGAAUUCCAUGUGUAGCGGUGAAAUGCGUAGAUAUAUGGAGGAACACCGGUGGCGAAAGCGGCUCUCUGGCUUGUAACUGACGCUGAGGCUCGAAAGCGUGGGGAGCAAACAGGAUUAGAUACCCCAGUAGUCCCUGUCUCUUAUACA
This 301-nucleotide ribosomal RNA is filed under the name uncultured bacterium. Its description in RNAcentral is "partial 16S ribosomal RNA". It matches the Rfam family "Bacterial small subunit ribosomal RNA", at positions 509 to 808 of the family's 1533-position model. The record is from RNAcentral.